This 616-nucleotide long non-coding RNA is filed under the name Gallus gallus (chicken). Its description in RNAcentral is "lncRNA (ENSGALG00010013966.1)". The record is from RNAcentral. Lineage: Eukaryota; Metazoa; Chordata; Aves; Galliformes; Phasianidae.
UAUAAAAACAACUUUGACCUUACACUGGAGACAUGCUUCAAAAGAUUAAUUAUUCAUAUGAUCAAAAUUGCUCGAAAACAACUACUUGAAAAUAUUCUCAGAAAAAAAAAGGGUAGAUUGUUCUGAGGCAAUAACAUAAUUUUGAUACAACAAACCUGACUGCUAUUUUUUAAAAAAUUCCUGAGGCUUUUUCUUUUUUCCACAGUCACAACUUCAGCAUAAUUCUUGAGUUCAUUUUAUUAUUAUUUUGCAAAUGCCUGCUGAGCUCCUGGAAUACAGAGAAGACCACCUUGAUCACUUAGAGAAUGGGUUCCAAGAAGCUGCAUCAUCAAGCUAAGCUUCAGUCUAUUAUGAUUGCGAAGAAGCAACCCAGAGUGAAGUUGUCAAAUGAUGGUUGAUGUUGGUCAAUCAGAUCUGCGAGAGAAAAAAAGAUCUUCAAGGGAAGAAAAUGUUUAAGAGAAAAAAAAUCAAGUUUCCAGAUUGUACCACAACCAUUGUUUACAAAAGGAGCAACAAACUUCCAUGAUCAAAUGAUUUUCUUGUCUGUCCUGGCAAAUGCAUAAUGUGGUAGGAGUUAAAACUAAGAAUAUAGAAGGUUGAGACAAAGACACUGAGC